UUAAGUUCAGAGAAGCUACCGUCAAGAAGGCAUGAAGGGCACGAAGGGUAAGAAAGCGUUGCCGGCGUGGGCGCUCGGCGGCUCAGCCCGCACUGACCUGGCCAUGGAGGCUGACCUGACACGGAGAUGAUCCACGGGAGCGAACAGCUGCGUCACACAGAGAAGCCAAGUUCAGGAACAUCAGGCUCCCCGCUGUGUUCACUGCGCUAAGACAGCCCCAGAGGGGUCCUGCCUCUUCUGCCCAG
Molecule: long non-coding RNA, 245 nt
Organism: Eptesicus fuscus (big brown bat)
Lineage: Eukaryota; Metazoa; Chordata; Mammalia; Chiroptera; Vespertilionidae
Exons: 3
Source: RefSeq, a predicted model, not a curated record